UAACCAUCAUAAGGUGUUCGGAGGAUAUGUUAUCACAGUGGGAUAUAAUGUUUUAUUUUGGACUGCAUUUUUACCUAAGGUAGACAUUUUAUAGUGUUUGAUAGGUUCUGUUUCUGUGAUACAAUGAUGUUGGCCUUUUGUCAACUAUAAUUAUAAGUUAUUACAUUUUGAAACUUUAAUACUGCCUUUUAUAAGCAUUAGGUUGAAAUUUUCCAGUUGGUGAGUGAAAAACACUGCAUAUUGCUUCAAGAAUUUAGCUAAGAACUAAAGAUUAAUUGAACAAAUUACAGUGUCCGAAGUUCGCUUGAAUUUAGACAAGAUGAUGGAGCAGAAGAGUACUGCAGUAAAAGCUUUAACAGGUGGAAUUGCCCACUUAUUCAAACAGAAUAAGGUUGUUCAUGUCAAUGGAUAUGGAAAGAUAACUGGCAAAAAUCAAGUCACUGCUACGAAAGCUGAUGGCGGCACUCAGGUUAUUGAUACAAAGAACAUUCUUAUAGCCACGGGUUCAGAAGUUACUCCUUUUCCUGGAAUCAUGAUUGAUGAAGAUACAAUAGUGUCAUCUACAGGUGCUUUAUCUUUAAAAAAAGUCCCAGAAAAGAUGGUUGUUAUUGGUGCAGGAGUAAUAGGUGUAGAAUUGG
Molecule: small RNA, 638 nt
Filed under: Pongo abelii (Sumatran orangutan)
Lineage: Eukaryota; Metazoa; Chordata; Mammalia; Primates; Hominidae
Description: retained intron
Source: RNAcentral